RNAcentral lists this ribosomal RNA (468 nucleotides) under uncultured bacterium. RNAcentral describes it as "partial 16S ribosomal RNA". It matches the Rfam family "Bacterial small subunit ribosomal RNA", at positions 28 to 507 of the family's 1533-position model. The record is from RNAcentral.
GACGAACGCUGGCGGCGUGCUUAACACAUGCAAGUCGAACGGAAAGGCCCUGCUUUUGUGGGGUGCUCGAGUGGCGAACGGGUGAGUAACACGUGAGUAACCUGCCCUUGACUUUGGGAUAACUUCAGGAAACUGGGGCUAAUACCGGAUAGGAGCUCCUGCUGCAUGGUGGGGGUUGGAAAGUUUCGGCGGUUGGGGAUGGACUCGCGGCUUAUCAGCUUGUUGGUGGGGUAGUGGCUUACCAAGGCUUUGACGGGUAGCCGGCCUGAGAGGGUGACCGGCCACAUUGGGACUGAGAUACGGCCCAGACUCCUACGGGAGGCAGCAGGGGGGAAUAUUGCACAAUGGGCGGAAGCCUGAUGCAGCAACGCCGCGUUCGGGAUGACGGCCUUUGGGGUGUAAACCGCUUUCGCCUGUGACGAAGCGGGAGUGACGGUAACGGGUAAAGAAGCACCGGCUAACUACGUG